RNAcentral lists this unclassified non-coding RNA (318 nucleotides) under uncultured fungus. Its description in RNAcentral is "partial contains small subunit ribosomal RNA, internal transcribed spacer 1, and 5.8S ribosomal RNA". The stretch from base 1 to 73 matches the Rfam family "Eukaryotic small subunit ribosomal RNA", at positions 1759 to 1831 of the family's 1831-position model. The record is from RNAcentral. Lineage: Eukaryota; Fungi.
ACAAACUUGGUCAUUUAGAGGAAGUAAAAGUCGUAACAAGGUUUCCGUAGGUGAACCUGCGGAAGGAUCAUUAGUGAAAUCACAAGUCGGCUGUCUGUGCUGGUGGGUCACCACAUGUGCACGAUGGUCGCAAAAUCCACACACCUGUGCACUUGUGACUUUGGAGCUCGCCCGACCGGGGGUUGACUAAUGGUCAACCAGAGUCCCAGGGUAAUUUUUACACACUCUGAAUGUCUUGGAAUGUAUCUGUGCAUAAUGCGCAAAAAUACAACUUUCAACAACGGAUCUCUUGGCUCUCGCAUCGAUGAAGAACGCAGC